This 325-nucleotide unclassified non-coding RNA is filed under the name Hevea brasiliensis (rubber tree). Lineage: Eukaryota; Viridiplantae; Streptophyta; Magnoliopsida; Malpighiales; Euphorbiaceae. The record is from RNAcentral.
GCAAACUAUUCUCGCCUAUGGAUGGAACGUAUUCGAUCGCUUCCAUCACUGUGAACUAGCAAGCACUGAAAGGAAAGUGUAUCCCUUGCUCUCUGGAUUGCUCACUUGCUUGCGUAAUGGUCAGGAGAAGAAAUGAAACUAGCAACAUAUAGAAUUCCAAUAGCGGUAGGAGAACUAUUACCUACAGGUCCUCUUACUGGGACAUCAGUUACAACAGACAGAUAAGAGGGCGGACUCUAUAGGGAUCUUAGAUAGGCUGGCUAAGAAAAAGAAAAGGCAGGCCCUUAAUAUUUGGAUAUUUCAAAUCCAGUUUUUGGGAGAUAAG